Molecule: non-coding RNA, 21 nt
Filed under: Arabidopsis thaliana (thale cress)
Lineage: Eukaryota; Viridiplantae; Streptophyta; Magnoliopsida; Brassicales; Brassicaceae
Source: RNAcentral
CAGCUUUUAGUUGUUGUAGCC